RNAcentral lists this long non-coding RNA (742 nucleotides) under Trifolium pratense (red clover). Its description in RNAcentral is "long non-coding RNA (TPRA_LNC002966)". Lineage: Eukaryota; Viridiplantae; Streptophyta; Magnoliopsida; Fabales; Fabaceae. The record is from RNAcentral.
GUGUUUGGUCUAGUCGCAGGACCUAUAUUUUACUCUUUAUAUAUAGUUUUGAGUGGUUGCUCUUAUGGUGGUGUUAUAAUUGUGAGGUGUGCUUUAUGCGAGACAUAGGUUGGUGUUUUGUUUUAGUGUUAAACUGGUUGUGCUUUAAGUGAGUUAGGUGUCGUGGUCUUGGUUAACUUUUUCUUGCAUCUUGAUUUGCAUAUGAUGUUAUACUCAUUUUCUCUUUAGUAUAAUAUUAAUUUGAAACAAAAUUUGGAUCAAUCUCUCAUGAACACAACAUAUUGACUAUAUUGAGUAUAUUUUUAAUAUUUCAGCAACUUCUUGAAAACAUGAGAGAGGAGCUGGCAUGGUUGUAAAAUGGCAGAGGAAUGCUUAGGUUAAAUUUAAUUUGUUUGCUGUGGUGUUCUGACGAUCAUCAACCGGUUGCAGGAAAUGGACUGUUGGGAGCUUGUAGUAAAUCAAUUUUGUUGUCUUGUGGUUGGUUGUUUUAAUCUGAUUAAGAUUGAGGAUCAUAAGGACCUUUGUAUUAGCAUAAGUUUGUUUUGUUGGUUAGAUGUACUCAAAUAUCGUUUCAGACCAAAUCUAGUAUAUUUUCCAUGUUAUAUUGAAAAAUUACUUUUUAUUCUCUAUAAAUUUAGUUGAUGUUAUUUACUAGUUUUUAAAUUUGAAAUUAACUCUAGGUUUACAUAUUAAAAAAUAACUCCAAGUUUACAUAUUAAAAAAAAGCUUCAGGUUGAAUAAU